This is a long non-coding RNA of Lepisosteus oculatus (spotted gar), 288 nucleotides long. RefSeq lists it as uncharacterized. The record is from RefSeq and is a predicted model, not a curated record. Lineage: Eukaryota; Metazoa; Chordata; Actinopteri; Semionotiformes; Lepisosteidae.
AUCUUUUCUCAACAGGAAAAGAAGAACAUGGAAGGGAAAGAAAUUAGACGCAGAGGGACCAGCUGAAGGCUUUGCAUUUUGAACUCCGACCUCUUCUGCUUCCGAAUGAAGAUGCAGGACAUGCCCCAGUUUCAUGGACCUGAGGAACUAAAAAGGCCCCCAACAACAGUGGGCACUUUCUAAGAUGUCCACUUGCUUUACAGCACUGCAGUCAAACAAUUUUGCUCCAGACUGUUUUUUUCGGUCCUGAUGUCUGAAUGCGUUACGUCUCGUAAGCUACCCUUUGCC